Molecule: long non-coding RNA, 1705 nt
Filed under: Sus scrofa (pig)
Lineage: Eukaryota; Metazoa; Chordata; Mammalia; Artiodactyla; Suidae
Description: lncRNA (ENSSSCG00050057289.1)
Source: RNAcentral
CGGCUCGACUUUAGACUAGUUCUUUGCAUCAAUCUCAAAGGUACCAAAUCUCAAAAUUACCAGUUAAAAUAGGAACUCAGGUACAAGGAAUAAAAUAGGGAUGAAACAGGACACAAGUCAGGCUGCUAUCCUUGCAGAAAGAGACGGAAACCUGAAACUGGAGUGAAUUUUAACCCAAAUGUUAAAACGCUAAGCCCCGGAACUAUCACUGCAGAAUCCCUUCUUGUCUGUGAUCACAGGAAAAGGUGAGACUAGGCUUGUAGCUGGAACCCAGGUAAACUGUGCAGAGAGGAUGCAGAGCCUAGACAACAGGCAACUGUCUUAUGGAAGUGUGAAUGUAGAAUUUUGGGGUAGUUUUGCAGUUAUUUUUUGUUUGUUUGUUUGUUUUGUUUUUUUUUUUUUGGUCUUUUUGCUAUUUCUCGGUCUUGGGCCGCUCCCGCGGCAUAUGGAGAUUCCCAGGCUAGGGGUCCAAUCGGAGCUGUAGCCACCGGCCUAUGCCAGAGCCACAGCAACGCGGGAUCUGAGCCGCGUCUGCAACCUACACCAGAGCUCACGGCAAUGCCGGAUCGUUAACCCGCUGAGCAAGGGCAGGGAUCGAACCUGAACCUCAUGGUUCCUAGUCGGAUUCGUUAACCACUGCGCCACAACGGGAACUCCAGUUUUGCAGUUUUAGGAGUUAAUUGUUUAUGUAGUGCAAGAACCUUAUCAAACUAUCAAGUUACUAGAUCAGUUCAAGCAGUACCCUUUAAAAAAAAAAAAAAAAAAACAAGCAGAGAAGCAAAAUUGAGCAUCCAUAUGUCAGUAAACUAUCUUAGUCUUUCCCAUUUGUGAUUAAAGGAAACAAUUAGAUGUACUGGGGAAAAAAAACAAACCAAAGUUUUAGGAACAGCUGUGGUGAUGCUGUGACAUUCAGCAAAUCAUUUCACUUCUCUAGGCGUCAAUUACUCAUCUGUAAAAUAAGUUUGGAUCAUUUAUCAUUGUUUCCUUUCAAAUUUAAGCUCUAUUAUUUAUUUCUACCACUGACUUUCCUAUAUUAGGGAAAUUUUUUAUGACAGGUUUCAUUUUAACCCUAUUUACAUAAUUUGAAAACAGAAAUAUUUGAGAAAAACCCUUUCUACAGUAAUUAUUUUAGUGAAAAUGUAUAUUCUCUUUAAAAAUUUAUUUCAUGAAAUAGCUGGAGAUAUUUGUAUAGUGUUGAGUCCUGAGUUAUACAAUUUUAUUUAUUUAUUUCGUCUUUUUCUUUCUUUUUUUUUUUUUUUUUUGCCUUUUCUAGGGCUGCACCUGCGGCAUAUGGAGAUUUCCAGGCUAGGGGUCUAAUCAGAGCUAUAGCUGCCAGCCUACACCACAGCCACAGAUCCAAGCUGCGUCUGUGACCUUCACCACAGCUCACGGCAACGCUGGAUUCUUAACCCACUGCAGUGAACCUGCAACCUCAUGGUCCCUAGCUGGAUUCGUUAACCACUGAGCCACAACGGGAACUCCCUGAGUUAUACAAUUUUAUAGAAAAGAAAAUGUUUUAACAUUUUCUUCUUAAGAUAUCAUGAUUCGAGAAGGGGGAAGAAAAAGAUAUCAUGAUUUAGAGUUAUUUGAUGUGGAAAAUCUUAUUUCCCCAGAAAGAUUUAUAAUAUUGGAGAUCAGUGACUAAAUGACGUACAACUACAUAACCAGAAAAUGUUCAAUAAAUAGUAACUGGGAGUUCCCGUCA